UACGUAGGUCCCGAGCGUUGUCCGGAUUUAUUGGGCGUAAAGCGAGCGCAGGUGGUUUAUUAAGUCUGGUGUAAAAGGCAGCGGCUCAACCAUUGUAUGCAUUGGAAACUGGUAGACUUGAGUGCAGGAGAGGAGAGUGGAACUCCAUGUGUAGCGGUGAAAUGCGUAGAUAUAUGGAAGAACACCAGUGGCGAAAGCGGCUCUCUGGUCUGUAACUGACGCUGAGGUUCGAAAGCGUGGGUAGCAAACAGG
Molecule: ribosomal RNA, 252 nt
Filed under: uncultured bacterium
Lineage: Bacteria
Description: partial 16S ribosomal RNA
Rfam family: Bacterial small subunit ribosomal RNA
Source: RNAcentral